GAUGAAGAACGUAGCGAAAUGCGAUAACUAAUGUGAAUUGCAGAAUUCAGUGAAUCAUCGAGUCUUUGAACGCACAUUGCGCCCCUUGGUAUUCCGAGGGGCAUGCCUGUUCGAGCGUCAUUAUAACCCUCAAGCUCAGCUUGGUGUUGGGGCCUGCUGCACUGGCAGCCCUUAAAAUCAGUGGCGGCGCCAUCUGGCUAUAAGCGUAGUAAUUCUUCUCGCUAUGGAGUCCUGGUGGAUGCUUGCCAUCAACCCCCAAUUUUUCUAUGGUUGACCUCGGAUCAGGUAGGGAUACCCGCUGAACUUAAGCAUAUCAAUAAGCGGAGGA
This 328-nucleotide unclassified non-coding RNA is filed under the name soil metagenome. RNAcentral's name for it is "partial contains 5.8S ribosomal RNA, internal transcribed spacer 2, and large subunit ribosomal RNA". The stretch from base 1 to 120 matches the Rfam family "5.8S ribosomal RNA", at positions 35 to 154 of the family's 154-position model. The record is from RNAcentral.